This 401-nucleotide ribosomal RNA is filed under the name uncultured bacterium. RNAcentral's name for it is "bacterial SSU rRNA". It matches the Rfam family "Bacterial small subunit ribosomal RNA", at positions 28 to 422 of the family's 1533-position model. The record is from RNAcentral.
GAUGAACGCUAGCGGCAGGCUUAAUACAUGCAAGUCGAGGGGCAGCAUGACUGUAGCAAUACAGUUGAUGGCGACCGGCAAACGGGUGCGGAACACGUACGCAACCUACCCAAAACUGAGGAAUAGCCCGGGGAAACCCGGAUUAAUACCUCGUAACAUAAUUGAGUGGCAUCAUUUAAUUAUUAUAGCUCCGGCGGUUUUGGAUGGGCGUGCGCCUGAUUAGAUAGUUGGCGGGGUAACGGCCCACCAAGUCGUGCGAUCAGUAACUGGUGUGAGAGCACGACCAGUCACACGGGCACUGAGACACGGGCCCGACUCUACGGGAGGCAGCAGUAAGGAAUAUUGUCAAUGGACGCAAGUCUGAACCAGCCAUGCCGCGUGAAGGAUGAAGGUCCUCUGGA